Molecule: ribosomal RNA, 253 nt
Filed under: uncultured bacterium
Lineage: Bacteria
Description: partial 16S ribosomal RNA
Rfam family: Bacterial small subunit ribosomal RNA
Source: RNAcentral
GACGAAGGAUGCAAGCGUUAUCCGGAUUCAUUGGGGUUAAAGGGAGCGUAGGCGGUCUUGUAAGUCAGUGGUGAAAUCUCGCAGCUUAACUGCGAAACUGCCAUUGAUACUGCUUGACUAGAGUACAGAUGCUGUGGGCGGAAUAUGACAUGUAGUGGUGAAAUACAUAGAGAUGUUAUAGAACACCGAUUGCGAAGGCAGCUCACAAAACUGUAACUGACGCUGAGGCUCGAAAGUGUGGGGAUCAAACAGG